GACGUAGGGCGCGAGCGUUGUCCGGAUUUAUUGGGCGUAAAGAGCUCGUAGGCGGCUUGUCGCGUCGUUCGUGAAAACCUGCAGCUCAACUGCAGGCUUGCGGUCGAUACGGGCAGGCUAGAGUUCGGUAGGGGAGACUGGAAUCCUGGUGUAGCGGUGAAAUGCGUGAGAUAUCAGGAGGAACACCUGUGGUGUAGACGGCUCUCUGGACAGUACUGACGCUGAGACACGAAAGCGUGGGUAGCAAACAG
RNAcentral lists this ribosomal RNA (251 nucleotides) under uncultured bacterium. Its description in RNAcentral is "partial 16S ribosomal RNA". It matches the Rfam family "Bacterial small subunit ribosomal RNA", at positions 524 to 775 of the family's 1533-position model. The record is from RNAcentral.